GAUGAACGCUGGCGGCGUGCUUAACACAUGCAAGUCGAACGAAGCACUUUAUUUGAUUUCCUUCGGGACUGAUUAUUUUGUGACUGAGUGGCGGACGGGUGAGUAACGCGUGGGUAACCUGCCUUGUACAGGGGGAUAACAGUUGGAAACGGCUGCUAAUACCGCAUAAGCGCACAGCAUCGCAUGAUGCAGUGUGAAAAACUCCGGUGGUAUAAGAUGGACCCGCGUUGGAUUAGCUAGUUGGUGAGGUAACGGCCCACCAAGGCGACGAUCCAUAGCCGACCUGAGAGGGUGACCGGCCACAUUGGGACUGAGACACGGCCCAAACUCCUACGGGAGGCAGCAGUGGGGAAUAUUGCACAAUGGGCGAAAGCCUGAUGCAGCGACGCCGCGUGAGCGAAGAAGUAUUUCGGUAUGUAAAGCUCUAUCAGCAGGGAAGUUAAUGACGGUACCUGACUAAGAAGCACCGGCUAAAUACGUG
This 481-nucleotide ribosomal RNA is filed under the name uncultured bacterium. RNAcentral describes it as "partial 16S ribosomal RNA". It matches the Rfam family "Bacterial small subunit ribosomal RNA", at positions 28 to 507 of the family's 1533-position model. The record is from RNAcentral.